GAGAGAGGCUUGAAGCAAUAAAAGCUGCUAACUUUUAAACCCGCAGUUAAACUCUGCGGCUCACUCA
RNAcentral lists this transfer RNA (67 nucleotides) under Ichthyborus sp. NM-2010. RNAcentral describes it as "tRNA-Ser (AGY)". Lineage: Eukaryota; Metazoa; Chordata; Actinopteri; Characiformes; Citharinidae. The record is from RNAcentral.